UACGAAGGGGGCUAGCGUUGCUCGGAAUCACUGGGCGUAAAGGGUGCGUAGGCGGGUCUUUAAGUCAGGGGUGAAAUCCUGGAGCUCAACUCCAGAACUGCCUUUGAUACUGGAGAGCUCGAGUCCGGAAGAGGUGAGUGGAACUGCGAGUGUAGAGGUGAAAUUCGUAGAUAUUCGCAAGAACACCAGUGGCGAAGGCGGCUCACUGGUCCGGUACUGACGCUGAGGUGCGAAAGCGUGGGGAGCAAACAGG
Molecule: ribosomal RNA, 253 nt
Filed under: uncultured bacterium
Lineage: Bacteria
Description: partial 16S ribosomal RNA
Rfam family: Bacterial small subunit ribosomal RNA
Source: RNAcentral